GACGAACGCUGGCGGCGUGCUUAACACAUGCAAGUCGAACGGAAAGGCCCUGCUUUUGUGGGGUGCUCGAGUGGCGAACGGGUGAGUAACACGUGAGUAACCUGCCCUUGACUUUGGGAUAACUUCAGGAAACUGAGGCUAAUACCGGAUAGGAGCUCCUGCUGCAUGGUGGGGGUUGGAAAGUUUCGGCGGGUGGGGAUGGACUCGCGGCUUAUCAGCUUGUUGGUGGGGUAGUGGCUUACCAAGGCUUUGACGGGUAGCCGGCCUGAGAGGGUGACCGGCCACAUUGGGACUGAGAUACGGCCCAGACUCCUACGGGAGGCAGCAGUGGGGAAUAUUGCACAAUGGGCGGAAGCCUGAUGCAGCAACGCCGCGUGCGGGAUGACGGCCUUCGGGUUGUAAACCGCUUUCGCCUGUGACGAAGCGUGAGUGACGGUAAUGGGUAAAGAAGCACCGGCUAACUACGUG
Molecule: ribosomal RNA, 468 nt
Filed under: uncultured bacterium
Lineage: Bacteria
Description: partial 16S ribosomal RNA
Rfam family: Bacterial small subunit ribosomal RNA
Source: RNAcentral